Molecule: ribosomal RNA, 407 nt
Filed under: uncultured bacterium
Lineage: Bacteria
Description: bacterial SSU rRNA
Rfam family: Bacterial small subunit ribosomal RNA
Source: RNAcentral
UGGGGAAUAUUGCACAAUGGGCGCAAGCCUGAUGCAGCGACGCCGCGUGAGGGAUGACGGCCUUCGGGUUGUAAACCUCUUUCAGCAGGGAAGAAGCGCAAGCGACGGUACCUGCAGAAGAAGCGCCGGCUAACUACGUGCCAGCAGCCGCGGUAAUACGUAGGGCGCAAGCGUUGUCCGGAAUUAUUGGGCGUAAAGAGCUCGUAGGCGGUUUGUCGCGUCUGCUGUGAAAACGCGAGGCUCAACCUCGCGCCUGCAGUGGGUACGGGCAGACUAGAGUGCGGUAGGGGAGACUGGAAUUCCUGGUGUAGCGGUGGAAUGCGCAGAUAUCAGGAGGAACACCGGUGGCGAAGGCGGGUCUCUGGGCCGUAACUGACGCUGAGGAGCGAAAGCAUGGGGAGCGAACA